RNAcentral lists this ribosomal RNA (836 nucleotides) under uncultured Gemmatimonadota bacterium. Its description in RNAcentral is "bacterial SSU rRNA". It matches the Rfam family "Bacterial small subunit ribosomal RNA", at positions 72 to 895 of the family's 1533-position model. The record is from RNAcentral. Lineage: Bacteria; Pseudomonadati; Gemmatimonadota.
UACUGGGGCAACCUGGUAGUGACCGGCGAACGGGUGCGUAACACGUGAGCGACCUUGCCUCGUGGUGGGGGAUAGCCGGCCCAACGGCCGGGUAAUACCGCAUAGGGUGCUGACUCCGCAUGGAGACGGCAGCAAAGCCCUGGAGCAAUCCAGUGGCGCCACAGGGGGGGCUCGCGGCCUAUCAGCUAGUUGGGGGGGUAAUGGCCCACCAAGGCGACGACGGGUAGCUGGUCUGAGAGGAUGGCCAGCCACAUUGGGACUGAGAGACGGCCCAGACUCCUACGGGAGGCAGCGGUGGGGAAUCUUGCGCAAUGGCCGAAAGGCUGACGCAGCGACGCCGCGUGGGGGAGGAAGGCCUUCGGGUUGUAAACCCCUGUUGCCCGGGACGAAUGUGCACUUUUGAGUGCAUUGACGGUACCGGGUGAGGAAGCACCGGCUAACUCCGUGCCAGCAGCCGCGGUAAUACGGAGGGUGCAAGCGUUGUCCGGAAUCACUGGGCGUAAAGGGCGCGUAGGCGGCUCAUGAAGGCUGUGGUGAAAGUCCGGGGCUCAACCUCGGAUCGGCCGUGGCGACUCGUGGGCUGGAGCACUGUAGAGGCGGGUGGAAUUCCGGGUGUAGCGGUGGAAUGCGUAGAGAUCCGGAAGAACACCAGUGGCGAAGGCGGCCCGCUGGGCAGUGGCUGACGCUGAGGCGCGACAGCGUGGGGAGCAAACAGGAUUAGAUACCCUGGUAGUCCACGCCGUAAACGAUGGGCACUAGGUGCUUGGGGGAGCGACCCUCUGAGUGCCGGCGCUAACGCAUUAAGUGCCCCGCCUGGGGAGUACGGCCGCAAGGCU